UACGUAGGGUGCGAGCGUUAAUCGGAAUUACUGGGCGUAAAGCGUGCGCAGGCGGUUUUGUAAGCCAGAUGUGAAAUCCCCGGGCUUAACCUGGGAAUGGCAUUUGGGACUGCAAGGCUGGAGUUUGGCAGAGGAGACUGGAAUUCCUGGUGUAGCAGUGAAAUGCGUAGAUAUCAGGAGGAAUACCGAUGGCGGAAGGCAGGUCUCUGGGCUAUAACUGACGCUCAUGCACGAAAGGCGUGGGGAGCAAACGAGG
Molecule: ribosomal RNA, 256 nt
Filed under: uncultured bacterium
Lineage: Bacteria
Description: partial 16S ribosomal RNA
Rfam family: Bacterial small subunit ribosomal RNA
Source: RNAcentral